This 71-nucleotide transfer RNA is filed under the name Halocynthia hilgendorfi ssp. n. KRK-2020. RNAcentral's name for it is "tRNA-Tyr". Lineage: Eukaryota; Metazoa; Chordata; Ascidiacea; Stolidobranchia; Pyuridae. The record is from RNAcentral.
GGGUCGGUAGUAUGAUUAGGAAUAGUGCGUGGGGUUGUAAACUCCAAGGAGGUGGUUAGAGCCUCGGCUCA